This 1033-nucleotide long non-coding RNA is filed under the name Macaca fascicularis (crab-eating macaque). RNAcentral describes it as "lncRNA (ENSMFAG00000048375.1)". The record is from RNAcentral. Lineage: Eukaryota; Metazoa; Chordata; Mammalia; Primates; Cercopithecidae.
GCCCAACAUUAUAACAAAAGAUUGUAACAAGGACUGUGGGAGUUAUGAACCCCGAACUGUGCACAAAAACCAAUGCAUGUCAUAAUACCACAGUGCACCCAACAGAAAUGUCUAGAAAAUUGUUUUUAACUAUGGAGUGGUUUCCCAAGAGUUGGGCAGAAAUGGGACUUAGAACACAGUAGGGACAGAAGUCUUUCAGUAAUUCAAAGCUAAUAUGGCCACAGGUCCCAGCUCUGAAUCAGCCCUGAAUACAACACAUUUUACAUUCAUCUAGACCAUGUAGAUUUUAUUGUGGUUAGUACAAUGUAAGACCUGAUUUCACAAUAGCUUGUUGACAUUAUAUAUUUUGUCAUACAAUGGAUAAUAUGACAUUAGUUAUGUUAAAAAGGCAAGAUCCACUGAUGAAUGCUAAAAGAGUGAAUGAAAUGUUAAGGAGCAAUAGAACAUUUGGAUAGCCUCAAAGCAUUUUCUUCAAAAUAUUAAUUACCAUGGUAGUUUUAACGGAUGUCCACAAAUUCUUUGAUACACCUCCUCCGGGAAUUGGGACUUAAUUCUUUUCCCCUUUGGUGUGGACUGGACUUAGUGACUUGCUUCUGGAAUAUGGAAAGAGGAAAAAUGGCAACUUCACAAUGGAGAAACUUGGCAGACAUAACCUUAACCAAGUGAUUAAGGUUAACAUCACCAGGAACAAGUUACGUUGAUCUCAUAUAUCCCCAGAUAUGAUUCAAGGUGAGGGGCGCUUCCCCUCUGUGGCAUUCCCCAAAAUCCAUGACUCCAGUCUAGUGAGAAACAUCAGACAAAGCCUCAGGGACAUUCUACAAAAUUCCCAACCGGUACUCUUCAAAAGUGCCAAUGGGACUGGGCGCGGUGGCUCACACCUGUAACCCCAGCACUUUGCGAGGCUAAGAUAGUAGAUCACUUGAGGUCAGGUGUUUGAGACCAGCCUGGCCAACAUGGUGAAACUCCAUCUCUACUAAAAGUACAAAAAUUAGGUGGGCGUGGUGGCACGUGCCUGUAAUUUAAAAAAAAAAAA